CUGCUGCCUUCCGUAGGAGUCUGGUCCGUGUCUCAGUCCCAGUGUGGGGGGCCUUCCUCUCAGAACCCCUACGCAUCGUCGCCACGGUGGGCCGUCACCCCGCCGUCUAGCUAAUGCGCCGCAUGCCCAUCCGCCACCGGAUCGCUCCUUUGGCCACCGGAGGAUGCCCUCCGGUGGCGUCACGGGGUAUUAGGCCGCGUUUCCGCGGGUUAUCCCCCUGUGGCGGCCAGGUUGCAUACGUGUUACUCACCCGUGCGCCGGUCGCCGGCGGG
Molecule: ribosomal RNA, 272 nt
Filed under: uncultured bacterium
Lineage: Bacteria
Description: partial 16S ribosomal RNA
Source: RNAcentral